Molecule: long non-coding RNA, 2896 nt
Filed under: Gallus gallus (chicken)
Lineage: Eukaryota; Metazoa; Chordata; Aves; Galliformes; Phasianidae
Source: RNAcentral
CUUGUUUUCCUUUUCACAUGCUUUAUUUUUUGAAUGAUGUCAUACCUGACGCGUGUUUUGGUAAACCAAGGCUCCUCAAUGAUUGAGGGAACAGCUGAAUCCAUCAAAGGAUGAGAUUUGAUGAAGGACAAUGUUUCGUCUGGGAAAUCAAUGGAGGUUUUGUAAGCUUCUGCUAGGCCAUGUUUUGCACAGCAGCCAGGUCUGAAAGGAGAACAACAUUGUUUUUUCCCCUCUUGGUAUUUCAGUUAAUGAGAGAAGGCAGCCUGCUAAUGAGCAUCCUUAUGGUUGAAGAGUAAAGCUCUACUCUUUUUUUUUUUUUUUUUUCCACCCAGUACAACACUCAAGAGUGCAGCUGAUUUAAAGUAGCUCUUUACAAGGACAGCUUUAUAGUACCACAAGGAAAAACUUUUUACCUUGGCUUUGGUACCUUGUCUUCAGGUACAGCUGUCCAAACAGAGUCAGGAGUUUUUUGUUCUUUGAAUCUCCCUUUGAAGACCUUCUCAAUGUCAUCCAUGCUGAAAGCACACACUGCUGAACCAGGGAUGCUGUAAAAUAAGAAAAAGAGUUGCAAGAACUCAGCCUACAAUAGCACCAAUCUCAGUGCAAGAGAGAACCAGAGAACUACCUUUGAUGUAAAGUUGCUCAUCUCUCACCUGUUAAGCUGUGUAGUGAAUACACCGACAACCGUGGGGAUUCCAUUGAUUUCUAUUAUGUCCGUGAUAGACUGUAGAACAUCAAAGUAGAAGAACGAAUCCCCAGGAACGGAGCAGUUGAGCCGAGCUUUCAGAAAGGAUGUCCAAUGUUUUUCCAGUACUCUCUGGGAACCCCCCAUGUCAUUUUUGCAUAUGCGUGCCACACGGGAAUACACAGCCUGUGAAGGGUGGAAAAAAGGAAAAGGAAGAAAGGCUUGAGAGAUUCAAGGGCAAAAGUGCUCGUUUCUGAGCUGUUAGUAAAACACUGCAGAUAAUUUUAACAGGAAGACAGUUGCCAUUUAUCUGUGCAGAAAGAAAGAGAGCAAGCAAUGUUUAGCUGCCAGUACAUAGGCAUCUUAAAGCAUCGCCAGGCAAAUGCAACUCUGCCAGCUUGUUCCCCACCCUUUUUUUUUCCAUUCAAAAUCAUAUUGUUAGUGAGAUUUAAAGACUUUAAUUAACCACGUGUAAAGACAUUAAUAAUUUAUUACAGAAUAUCCUUCCAUGGUGAGGCAUUAGCAUUAUACUCUGCAGUGGUAUGACUGAAUUAUUCAAUAUCUACGGACAUAAGAGAAACUUCUUUGAAACUCUUCUUUUGUGUUCUUUUGUUUCUCUUAUAAGCAUGAAAAAAAACCCCUCAGAUAUUCCAUUAACUGUCACAAGUGUUAAGGGAACAGCUACACCAAAAGAUACCUGCAUAGAGCUCUCCUAAUUGCAGGGCAUGUGGAAUAUCAAUAACUUUUUGGUAGAAGAAUGCACCGUUGUGUUUUUUUUCUCUGCCUGUAAACUAUAAUUUUGGAAUAAUUGCAUAAAUUUGGUACUACAGCCUUAUUUCACACUGUAAGCUGUACUUGUUACUGCUACUUUUCGGAUGAUCUAAUUCUGCCAAGGCUCAUGGCUAAUGAGAGCUUGCUGGAAGGAUACCCACCUUGCCUAAAUUAUUGUGCUCUACAGCAAUUUCUCGAAAGAAGAAAUACACGUAGUUCCCAUAUUCUAUGGCAUGCAGAAAGUGUGGCUCUGUAAUAAAGAGCAAGGAGAAGGUUACUUCAAAGAACUGUUCAGUCAGCAUACAACACUGGCUGCACUGCGCGACUCAGUGGCUUCUCCCACGGGUCCAUACCAGCUAACAUUGUCUCCACCCCUCCAGACACUUUAGGAUGUCCAAAUAUGAGUGCACUCAAAUGAACCAUAAGGCUUUAGGGUUGGCUAAUAGACCAUUAAAAAAAAAAACAAAAACCUCAAAGGAAUUGCAUUUCAGCUCAGGUAUCACUCAUUUAUGUAUUUAACAACAACAACAACAAACUGCUUUAUUGGUAAUUAGGUCCUUUCUUACUGUGAUCAUGCUGCAUUGAAAACUGCAUGUUUGCUAUGCUGUGGCACGUGUGUAAAGCACGCUGGCUGUGAAUUGUCUGACCUACGUGCUGCUGAAAUUACAUUCACCAUGUAUAUGGGAAGAUACUCCCCCAAAUUACCUUUUAUCCAUUUGGAAUCAUACUUUAUUGUUCUUAGGGCAGAUCCAUCUCCCAUGCUGCGAUAAAUAACAGCAUCACUUGCCAGGAAAUCUGCUACUGUUGCUGAAUACAAUUUUCCAUCUAAAACAGAAGUAGAAAAUGUAGUAUUAAGAGGCCUUUAAUAAUCUACAGAAUUCUGACUAGUCUGCAUUCCUCUCCCUCCCUUUUUUUUUACUGCCAUUCUUCCCCAAAUUGAUCUAACCUAUUUAUUAACAGGUCAGCUUCUAAUCCUUUGGAGGCCCUUUAAAAAAUUUAAGAGCAGAGGCACCUUGACACCUUUAGCUUUCCUGUGCUAGCUUUAAAAGCUCCCUGGCUCCUUUAGUGUCAUUAAUCAUUUAGACUCAUUACAAGCAAAAGUUCUUACCAGCAAAGAGGGCGACAUUGGUUUGUCUGGCAUCAAAUGGGCAUCUUGCCAAACCACUAAUUUCCUCCCCAUCAUACUCUAACGUACUCAGCCGAUAGUAUCUGCACAUAGGAUUAAAUGCAUUUGUUCCACAGACAAACACCAUCUCGUCAUUUCUUGGAACAAAGACUUUAAUGAAGUUAUGGCAUUCAUCUUUAUGUUUUCCUUUCAUAGCACAGUUCUCUCUGUCCUGCUGCCUUGACCUCCAUGUUAAUUUCUGUUCAAAUCAAGCAGGAAAGAAAAUUUCAUUUUCUUUUCAAAGAAAGCCUUAAAAGAGAAAAGAAGAAAGAGGA